RNAcentral lists this long non-coding RNA (1928 nucleotides) under Coturnix japonica (Japanese quail). Its description in RNAcentral is "lncRNA (ENSCJPG00005002838.1)". The record is from RNAcentral. Lineage: Eukaryota; Metazoa; Chordata; Aves; Galliformes; Phasianidae.
GGUGGGGUCUAUAAUGGGCUUCUAUGGGGGGGUCUAUAUGGGGGGGUCUAUAAUGGGGUUCUAUGGGGGGGUCUAUAAUGGGGUCCUAUGGGGGAGGUCUAUAUGGGCUGAUCUAUAAUGGGGUUCUAUGGGGUGGGUCUGUAAUGGGGUUCUAUGGGGUGGGUCUAUAAUGGGGUUCUAUGGGGUGGGUUUAUAUGGGGUGGGUCUAUAUGGGGUUCUAUGGGGGGGUCUAAAAUGGGGUCCUAUGGGGGAGGUCUAUAUGGGCUGAUCUAUAAUGGGGUGUCUAUGGGGUGGGGUCUAUAAUGGGGUUCUAUGGGGUGUGGGUUUAUAAUGGGGUUCUAUGGGGUGGGUCUAUAAUGGGGUUCUAUGAGGGGGGGUCUAUAAGUGGGGUCUAUGGGGGGGUCUAUAAUGGGGUUCUAUGGGGGGGUCUAAAAUGGGGUCCUAUGGGGGAGAUCUAUAUGGGCUGAUCUAUAAUGGGGUUCUAUGGGGUGGGUCUAUAAUGGGGUUCUAUGGGGUUGGUCUAUAAUGGGGUUCUAUGGGGUGGGUCUAUAUGGGGUUCUAUGGGGGGGUCCAUAAUGGGGUGUCUAUGUGGGUUCCUAUGUGUCCCCCUUUAGGGCUGUCUGUCCUCCUGCCACCAGGGGGCGCCGUUGGGUCCCUUUGUAUCCGGGCGCUGGUUGAGUCCUCCAGGCCUCCACGAGGCCCCGUGCUACGAGGCGGCCACAGGCUGGCUGAGGAGCUGGAGCGGAAGGCGGAAGCGGAGGCCGUCUCUAUGGGGCGGCCAUGUUGGGCCGGGGCCGGAAGUGACGUCGAUCUGGGGGUCAGGAUGAUCCGGGCGGCGGCGGCGGCCAUUACUGCCCCUCCCCCACAGCUGGAAGGGAGGGGGGCCAGGGGUGAGGAGGGGGGGGGCAAGAUGGCGGCGGUCACGUGAUCAGGGGUGAGGAGGGAGGGGCAAGAUGGCGGCGGUCACGUGAUCAGGGGUGAGGAGGGAGGGGCAAGAUGGCGGCGGUCACGUGACCAGAGGUGAGAAGGGGGGGGCAAGAUGGCGGGUAGUCACGUGGUCAGGGCCCCUCCACCAAUAGCUGGAAGGAGGGGGGGAAUUCAAGAUGGCGGUGGUCACGUGGUCAGGAGUGACGAGGGGGACAAGAUGGCGGUGGUCACGUGAUCAGAAGUGAAAAGAAGGGGCAAGAUGGCGGCGAUCACGUGGGCCCUCGAGUGGUUGGGGGUGGCAAGAUGGCGGUGGUCACGUGGUCAGGGCCCCUCCACCAAUAGCUGGAAGGAGGGAUGUUCAAGAUGGCGGGUGGUCACGUGAUCAGGGCUCCUCCACCAAUAGCUGGGGGGUCAAGAUGGCGGAGUGUCACGUGGUCGGGGUCCUUCCACCAAUAGCUGGAAGGGAUGGGAGGCAAGAUGGCGGGUGAUCACGUGGUCAGGGCUCAUCCAAUAGCUGGGGGCGCGGGGGGGGGGCAAGAUGGCGGAGGGUCACGUGAUCAAGGCCCCUCCACCAAUAGCUGGAAGGAGGGGGAUUCAAGAUGGCGGGGGUCACGUGAUCAAAGUCUUUCCACCAAUAAGUGGAAGGGAGAAGGGUGCAAGAUGGCGGUGGUCACGUGGUCAAGGGUUUUCCACCAAUAGCUGGAAGGGAUUGGAUUAAAGAUGGCGGGUGAUCACGUGAUCAAGGCCCCUCUAGCAAUAGGUGGAAGGGGGGCAAGAUGGCGGGUGGUCACGUGAUCAGAGUCCCUCCACCAAUAGCUGGAAGGGAUGGGAUUCAAGAUGGCGGGUGAUCACGUGAUCAAGGUCCCUCCACCAAUAGGUGGAAGAGAUGGGAGGCAAGAUGGCGGUGGUCACGUGAUCAGGGCUCCUCCCCCAGGAAGGGGGCAAGAUGGCGGUGAUCACGUGAUCAAAUUCCCUCCACCAAUAGCUGGAAGGGAUAGGAG